GGAAUGGGUGGGUUGCCUUUUGGUGGUCAGCCCCUGGGAAUGGAUGCAGAGAAAUCAAACGCCAAGUACGGCAUUGGUGGGCUGCAGUUUGGUGGACAACCCCUCAACACAGGGACUACUGGCACAGGCCAUUAUGGAUAUGGUGGAAGCCCCUAUGGGCCUGCUUCUGGCAAAUCGUCUGGAAAAUAUGGUG
Morone saxatilis (striped sea-bass) is the source of this 193-nucleotide long non-coding RNA. RefSeq lists it as uncharacterized. The transcript is spliced from 3 exons. The record is from RefSeq and is a predicted model, not a curated record. NCBI's taxonomy places the organism in Eukaryota, Metazoa, Chordata, Actinopteri, Moronidae.